RNAcentral lists this transfer RNA (73 nucleotides) under Caerostris darwini. RNAcentral describes it as "tRNA-Pro". It matches the Rfam family "tRNA". Rfam says of the family: Transfer RNA (tRNA) molecules are approximately 80 nucleotides in length. Their secondary structure includes four short double-helical elements and three loops (D, anti-codon, and T loops). The record is from RNAcentral. Lineage: Eukaryota; Metazoa; Arthropoda; Arachnida; Araneae; Araneidae.
GGCUCGGUGGGUUUAGGGGUAUGAUUCUUGCUUCGGGUGCAAGAGGUCAAGUGUUCAAAUCACGGCCGAGCCC